RNAcentral lists this ribosomal RNA (560 nucleotides) under uncultured bacterium. RNAcentral's name for it is "bacterial SSU rRNA". It matches the Rfam family "Bacterial small subunit ribosomal RNA", at positions 338 to 916 of the family's 1533-position model. The record is from RNAcentral.
CCUACGGGAGGCAGCAGUGGGGAAUCUUAGACAAUGGGCGCAAGCCUGAUCUAGCCAUGCCGCGUGAGUGAUGAAGGCCUUAGGGUCGUAAAGCUCUUUCGCCUGUGAUGAUAAUGACAGUAGCAGGUAAAGAAACCCCGGCUAACUCCGUGCCAGCAGCCGCGGUAAUACNGAGGGGGUUAGCGUUGUUCGGAAUUACUGGGCGUAAAGCGCACGUANGCGGAUUGGAAAGUUGGGGGUGAAAUCCCGGGGCUCAACCCCGGAACUGCCUCCNNAACUAUCANUCUAGAGUUCGAGAGAGGUGAGUGGAAUUCCAAGUGUAGAGGUGAAAUUCNUANAUAUUUGGAGGAACACCAGUGGCGAAGGCGGCUCACUGGCUCGAUACUGACGCUGAGGUGCGAAAGUGUGGGGAGCAAACAGGAUUAGAUACCCUGGUAGUCCACACCGUAAACGAUGAAUGCCAGUCGUCGGGCAGUAUACUGUUCGGUGACACACCUAACGGAUUAAGCAUUCCGCCUGGGGAGUACGGUCGCAAGAUUAAAACUCAAAUGAAUUGACGG